RNAcentral lists this ribosomal RNA (254 nucleotides) under uncultured bacterium. RNAcentral's name for it is "partial 16S ribosomal RNA". It matches the Rfam family "Bacterial small subunit ribosomal RNA", at positions 524 to 777 of the family's 1533-position model. The record is from RNAcentral.
UACGAAGGGGGCUAGCGUUGCUCGGAAUUACUGGGCGUAAAGGGAGCGUAGGCGGACAUUUAAGUCAGGGGUGAAAUCCCAGAGCUCAACUCUGGAACUGCCUUUGAUACUGGGUGUCUUGAGUAUGAUAGAGGUAUGUGGAACUCCGAGUGUAGAGGUGAAAUUCGUAGAUAUUCGGAAGAACACCAGUGGCGAAGGCGACAUACUGGAUCAUUACUGACGCUGAGGCUCGAAAGCGUGGGGAGCAAACAGGA